Trachymyrmex septentrionalis is the source of this 531-nucleotide long non-coding RNA. RefSeq lists it as uncharacterized. Lineage: Eukaryota; Metazoa; Arthropoda; Insecta; Hymenoptera; Formicidae. The record is from RefSeq and is a predicted model, not a curated record. The transcript is spliced from 3 exons.
GACACUAAUACGUUGCAAAAUGCGGGUUGCGUCAAGUCAGACCAGGGGCCCUGGUUAAAAUCAAUAGUCUCCGACACUUCCUGCCUAUAUGUUUCAAAUUCGCCGGCACGAAUCAACACGGUUGUAACUUAAUAUAUGAUACUCUCGAUGAUGAAGACUUUCACGACACGCAUGUUAAUUUAGAUGAUUCGAAAAAGAUUCGCUCGAUCAAGAUGAAUAUAUUUUCUGAAAAAUCAACUGUAGAUGUUGCUCAACAAUUUUUCAUUCGAUACGCGGAAACAGAAGAAAAUCUUGUUAACGCCCAGCAGCGCGACGACGAGAUUUCGGAGCGCAGAGGGUAGAAAUUGAACCCGCGUUGAAGAGAAAGAAGGCGAAGAUACUGUAAAAAGUACAAUACAAGAAACGCUAGAAUGGAGCUAAUUUAUCGCAAUUUAUCGAGCCACCCGGUGCUACUCGCUCGUCAUAUCGUCAUUGCACGUAGAUAAAAAUAAUGAUGUUCCUUUUCUUCGGCGCAAAAGUAACAGUCACGUA